AGGACGAACGCUGGCGGUGCGCCUAACGCAUGCAAGUCGAACGGUGAACCGGGCUUCGGCCCGGGGAUCAGUGGCGAACGGGUGCGUAACACGUGGGCAACCUGCCCCCGACCCUGGGAUAACCCCGGGAAACCGGAGCUAAUACCGGAUACUCUCCUCCGACCACAUGGUCAGAAGAGGAAAGGUCCGCCGGUCGGGGAUGGGCCCGCGGCCUAUCAGCUUGUUGGUGGGUAACGGCCUACCAAGGCGACGACGGGUAGCUGGUCUGAGAGGACGACCAGCCACACUGGGACUGAGACACGGCCCAGACUCCUACGGGAGCAGCAGUGGGGAAUCUGCGCAAGUGGGACGAAAGCCUGACGCAGCGACACGCGUGGGGAUGGAAGCCUUUCACGGUCGUAACCCUUCGGACGAGGGACGAAGCGAUCGUCGUCGACGUACCUGAC
Molecule: ribosomal RNA, 446 nt
Filed under: uncultured soil bacterium
Lineage: Bacteria
Description: bacterial SSU rRNA
Rfam family: Bacterial small subunit ribosomal RNA
Source: RNAcentral